AAUAGAUACCCGGGUAGUCCACGCCGUAAACGAUGAGUGCUAAGUGUUAGAGGGUUUCCGCCCUUUAGUGCUGCAGCUAACGCAUUAAGCACUCCGCCUGGGGAGUACGGUCGCAAGACUGAAACUCAAAGGAAUUGACGGGGGCCCGCACAAGCGGUGGAGCAUGUGGUUUAAUUCGAAGCAACGCGAAGAACCUUACCAGGUCUUGGCAUCCUCUGACAACUCUAGAGAUAGAGCGUUCCCCUUCGGGGGACAGAGUGACAGGUGGUGCAUGGUUGUCGUCAGCUCGUGUCGUGAGAUGUUGGGUUAAGUCCCGCAACGAGCGCAACCCUUGAUCUUAGUUGCCAGCAUUUAGUUGGGCACUCUAAGGUGACUGCCGGUGACAAACCGGAGGAAGGUGGGGAUGACGUCAAAUCAUCAUGCCCCUUAUGACCUGGGCUACACACGUGCUACAAUGGAUGGUACAAAGGGCUGCAAGACCGCGAGGUCAAGCCAAUCCCAUAAAACCAUUCUCAGUUCGGA
This 522-nucleotide ribosomal RNA is filed under the name uncultured bacterium. RNAcentral's name for it is "bacterial SSU rRNA". It matches the Rfam family "Bacterial small subunit ribosomal RNA", at positions 777 to 1297 of the family's 1533-position model. The record is from RNAcentral.